CCCCACCAUAAUCUAAGCAAUAAAGUUAAGCAGGAUACAGAAAGUCAAUUUAAUGAUACAACUUUACAUUGUUUAGCUAAUUAGCUAACGUGAGGUCGCGUCCAUAACUAGAAACAUCUAAGACAAAUCUAAGCUAUUGCAUAAUUCGUGGAAACCUCUCUGAUAGUGUUAUACACUUCUGUAUACCAUCAUCCGGCAUUAAUUGGCGUAGGGUUAGCAAUACUCGGCCAGAAUCAGCCGCUGUAAUGAACACAAGAUCUAUACAGAAUCGCGCAUUAUGCCAUAUGCCACCCUAGAACAUACAGAAUACCAUAAGCGACAUGUCCGUCCAUGCAGUGUUAUGCAAAUCACAGUAAUCACUGCCUGGACACAAUGGAGAUGUCCAUUGUGUCAAGUAAUCAUGUGAGAGCAUCAGAAAACAUGUAAGAUUUUGCUAUACAUUUGUUAUGUAUUCUAGUAAUAACCCUAGUGUUAUACUUGGGUGUAUAACUAAACUCUAAAUAAAUGCAGAUGUUUAUGCAGGUACACAGAAAACAUUUCCCACUUAAAAAUCUAUGUAAGCCAGUAUUUUUUAUUAAUUAAUCUUAAUCUAUUGGUCAGACAAAAAUAUUGUAUAACUUGUUCACUCUUGAAAUAACUCUUUUUUUUUAGGCUGCCACAACCACAACUCCUAUGUUAAGUCCAUUAAAAUACCAUAUUUAAGUAAAUAUGUUUAUUGUGCUAUGUAGCAGAACCAGUACAAAGGUGAACUAAACUAAUAGUGUUGUACCCUUGACUUACAUACUAAGAUUUGACAAGUACCUACAAUAAGUACACAACAUCCUAUAAUCCAGGAUUUAUAUUAGAUACAACCAUGGAAACACCAGAACUGAAGUGUAACAUAUCCCAAGAACAUGAACAAAUGUCUUGGAUCUAAAUAAAUCAGAAAAUACUAUUAGAGAAGAUGACAAUGAAAUCACAUCCUUAAAAACUUAAACCAUUUCUAAGAUUAAUCUUUAAGAUUUUGUACACACAUUACAUGAUAAUAAAUUAUAAACUUGUUAUUAGUCACAAGGGAUUAGGAUAAUGUAGAUAUGUUGAUUGUUUCACAUGUUUUUCAAUAUUCUGCAAACCAACCUUCUGAAUAUCUUGUUUCAGUGACAUUAAGUCCAGCACGAAUGGACCAGCUUGACUGGAGUGACGCCACAGCCUCACAGAAUACCAAUGUGAAACAAAUGUGAUUUACAGUAAUGCUUAGCCCAGGAGCUUAAAAUGUUUUACAAAUUAUAGCAGUAUGUAGUUUUAUAAAUUAUCUCAGACAGGCACUUUGAAUCAUAGCAUUAAUACCAUAUUGUAUUCUGCUUCAUGGCAUAUAAAGUAACACACAAAAUUAUUAUUUGAUUUAGUAUUUUUAUUUGUGUUCCUACCUUUACACAGUUUGUUACAAUUUAUUUCAAAUAAGGUUAGGUUAACAUUUGGUACAUAACUAUUUGAAGUUACACUAGAGACUGCAUCAACUCGUCAUCAUCAUCAACAUCAUCAACAAUAGAGGUUAUAGCAUAACAAUCACCAUCCUUGCACAAAGCACCCUUGCUCAAGGCAGAAUGGGGUUUUCAAAUUUAUAAUUAGAAAUUAGAUAACAUAAAGCCUAAUAGUCCUCCACACCUAAUUAGAAAUAAGCUCAGGUUUACUCAGAAUUCUUUCAUUCAUUCACAUCUUAGACAGUACAGAUAACUCAGAAAACUAACCCGAAAAAAAUUAAGUAUGGGGUGCCAUGCUUCGGCACAAAAGGACCAAAAGGACCAGCACGACCAAGUGAUACCACAGUGUCAUGAAAAACCAACAUGAAACAAUGGUUGCAUUGUGUUUCGUUUUGUGAGUGGGGGUACCAAAGGCCCAAUUACCGAUUCCCCAACAAAUCGCAAGGCGAUUGUUUACUAUUAGGUCAUCUGAUUGUUGACGUGCUUGUACCAUAUAAAAAGGUCAGACUAGCAGGUGCCAGUGCAGUGUGAUGUUUCAAACCUGCUUGAGAAGUGGGCAACACCAACCUUCAGGCAACCAUGACAUUUGUGUGAACUAGGUAGUUGAUUAAUUUUAGCUAAAUUCUAAUAGGAUAUGUAAUACAGUACACAACCUAAUAUAAUGGAAGUGAAAUAUUGUAAUAUUUGUGAAGUAGUUUAAAUGUGGUAUAUUUACUAAAUAUUAUAUCCUUAUUACUUAUACCAUGUUCAUAUUUGAAACAAUAUUUUUUUUAUCUAACAUACUGUUCAAACUAUUUAAGAGAUAAGAUUCAACAAUCGCAGUGGCAAACUAGUUUAUCAUAAUGCUUAUCAUGAAGGGAAGCAAUUUUUUCACUAAUAUCUGUUUUGUACAAGUAGGUGGGUAUAGGUACCUACUUUAUUUUGCAUUUAAAAUUCAAAAGUAAUAGAGUUAAAAAUACUUGAUCAUCUACAACAAUAAUAGUUUUCAAACAAACCUAUUUUUAUUUUAUUUGUAAUGUAGGUAGUUAUGUAUAAUAAAUGAGUGCAUGCGAAAUUAUAAGCAAUAUGAGCCUGCACAUUAUGACCAAGAUGGUUACUAGCCACUGAAAUUUCUGUAUAGGUAUAGAAAAUAUCAAAUUGUUUCUAUUUGCGCCCCUAAUUCAUUUAUUCUUGUAAACAACAUACCAAUUAUUGUAGACUAUUUUGACAUGAGUAAACCUACACAUAUUUUUAUUGAAAAACUAUGAUGGUAUGUGUAAUGUACUUACAGUUCUCUGUCAACUACAACAAGGUUAAUUAACUUUGUGGGUUUUGUAACUGCCGAGAUGGAUUCCAGGACACAGCUUGCUUUAAUUUAACCCGGCGUCAUGGGGGUUGGGUCUGUGCGACCCACCACAUUUUAUUUCGCUUGUAGUUCGGUUACUAUGCGUGCGACGUUGCUGCUCUUCUCAAUAGCUGGAGCUGUUGAGUUGUCCUACGCUUCGCAAGCUACACGUUAGUCGUGCCACGGCCGCAGUGGGAGAUACAGGUGCACAAAGUUAAAAAAGGUACUUAGUAAAAAAUGGACCGUGAAGAGGCUGAACGACAGCGUAUUCUGGCAAUUUUACAAGAGUCUGACUCUGAUACUGAGUUGUCAGACCAGGAUGUGUGUGACGAAGAAGAUCAUUUGAGUGUAGCGUGGAGCGUAGUAUUCAGCCAAGAAAGACCGUAAAACUAAUUACACCUGCGAAAGUUGAAACAAAUAUAUCUGCGUAGAACAUAUAGUACCUUUCUGAGCUGACUGUACCAAAGAUAAUGAUUCCAAAUGAUUAAUUGUUUAUUUUUUAAAUUUAUUUAGUUACCUACAAAAAAAGUGCUAUUAAAUGUUAAGACUGAUUGUUAAUUAAUAAUAAUAUAAUUACAUGUAGAAGUAGAAGAGAAAAUGUUUGUUGAUAAUUUUAGUUCUUUUUUAAAAUUUUAUUAUAUAUAAUUAAGACAUAAUAUAACAUAA
Long non-coding RNA from Spodoptera frugiperda (fall armyworm), 3450 nucleotides. RefSeq lists it as uncharacterized. The record is from RefSeq and is a predicted model, not a curated record. The transcript is spliced from 2 exons. Lineage: Eukaryota; Metazoa; Arthropoda; Insecta; Lepidoptera; Noctuidae.